AUUGAACGCUGGCGGCAUGCCUUACACAUGCAAGUCGAACGGUAACAGGUUAAGCUGACGAGUGGCGAACGGGUGAGUAAUAUAUCGGAACGUGCCCAAUCGUGGGGGAUAACGCAGCGAAAGUUGUGCUAAUACCGCAUAAGAUCUACGGAUGAAAGCGGGGGAUCGCAAGACCUCGCGCGAGUGGAGCGGCCGAUAUCAGAUUAGCUAGUUGGUGGGGUAAAGGCCCACCAAGGCGACGAUCUGUAGCUGGUCUGAGAGGACGACCAGCCACACUGGGACUGAGACACGGCCCAGACUCCUACGGGAGGCAGCAGUGAGGAAUAUUGGGCAAUGGGCGCAAGCCUGACCCAGCAACGCCGCGUGGAGGAAGACGGCCUUCGGUUGUAAACGUACCUUUACGGGUAAAGAGGAAGGACGGUACCCGACGAAUAAGUACACGGCUAACUACGUAGCCAGCAGCCGCGGUAA
Molecule: ribosomal RNA, 471 nt
Filed under: uncultured bacterium
Lineage: Bacteria
Description: bacterial SSU rRNA
Rfam family: Bacterial small subunit ribosomal RNA
Source: RNAcentral